UACGAGGGGGGCAAGCGUUGUUCGGAAUUAUUGGGCGUAAAGGGCGCGUAGGCGGUGCGGUAAGUCACCUGUGAAACCUCUAGGCUCAACCUAGAGCCUGCAGGCGAAACUGCCGUGCUUGAGGGUGGGAGAGGUGCGUGGAAUUCCCGGUGUAGCGGUGAAAUGCGUAGAUAUCCGGAGGAACACCAGUGGCGAAGGCGGUUGCCUGGAGCUUUGCUGACGCUGAUGCGCGAAAGCGUGGGGAGCGAUCCGG
Molecule: ribosomal RNA, 253 nt
Filed under: uncultured bacterium
Lineage: Bacteria
Description: partial 16S ribosomal RNA
Rfam family: Bacterial small subunit ribosomal RNA
Source: RNAcentral